Molecule: ribosomal RNA, 465 nt
Filed under: uncultured Cellulomonas sp.
Lineage: Bacteria; Bacillati; Actinomycetota; Actinomycetes; Micrococcales; Cellulomonadaceae
Description: bacterial SSU rRNA
Rfam family: Bacterial small subunit ribosomal RNA
Source: RNAcentral
CCCGCACAAGCGGUGGAGCAUGUGGUUCAAUUCGACGCAACGCGAAGACCUUACCUGGGCUUGACAUCCGCUGACCGUCCUGGAAACAGGAUCUUCCCCCGCAAGGGGACGGCGAGACAGGUGCUGCAUGGCUGUCGUCAGCUCGUGUCGUGAGAUGUUGGGUUAAGUCCCGCAACGAGCGCAACCCUCGUCCUAUGUUGCCAGCGGGUCAUGCCGGGGACUCAUGGGAGACUGCCGGGGUCAACUCGGAGGAAGGUGGGAUGACGUCAAAUCAUCAUGCCCCUUAUGUCUUGGGCUUCACGCAUGCUACAAUGGCCGGUACAAAGGGGCGCAAGACCGCGAGGUGGAGCAAAUCCCAAAAAACCGGUCUCAGUUCGGAUUGCAGGCUGCAACUCGCCUGCAUGAAGUCGGAAUCGCUAGUAAUCGCGGAUCAGCUACGCCGCGGUGAAUACGUUCUCGGGCCUU